This 370-nucleotide ribosomal RNA is filed under the name uncultured bacterium. RNAcentral describes it as "bacterial SSU rRNA". It matches the Rfam family "Bacterial small subunit ribosomal RNA", at positions 527 to 896 of the family's 1533-position model. The record is from RNAcentral.
GGAGGGUGCAAGCGUUAAUCGGAAUUACUGGGCGUAAAGCGCACGCAGGCGGUUGGAUAAGUUAGAUGUGAAAGCCCCGGGCUCAACCUGGGAAUUGCAUUUAAAACUGUCCAGCUAGAGUCUUGUAGAGGGGGGUAGAAUUCCAGGUGUAGCGGUGAAAUGCGUAGAGAUCUGGAGGAAUACCGGUGGCGAAGGCGGCCCCCUGGACAAAGACUGACGCCCAGGUGCGAAAGCGUGGGGAGCAAACAGGAUUAGAUACCCUGGUAGUCCACGCCGUAAACGAUGUCGAUUUGGAGGCUGUGUCCUUGAGACGUGGCUUCCGGAGCUAACGCGUUAAAUCGACCGCCUGGGGAGUACGGCCGCAAGGUUA